RNAcentral lists this ribosomal RNA (465 nucleotides) under Vreelandella stevensii. RNAcentral describes it as "partial 16S ribosomal RNA". It matches the Rfam family "Bacterial small subunit ribosomal RNA", at positions 338 to 795 of the family's 1533-position model. Lineage: Bacteria; Pseudomonadati; Pseudomonadota; Gammaproteobacteria; Oceanospirillales; Halomonadaceae. The record is from RNAcentral.
CCUACGGGUGGCAGCAGUGGGGAAUAUAGGACAAUGGGCGAAAGCCUGAUCCAGCCAUGCCGCGUGUGUGAAGAAGGCCUUCGGGUUGUAAAGCACUUUCAGUGGGGAAGAAAGCCUUGGGGCUAAUACCCUCGAGGAAGGACAUCACCCACAGAAGAAGCACCGGCUAACUCCGUGCCAGCAGCCGCGGUAAUACGGAGGGUGCGAGCGUUAAUCGGAAUUACUGGGCGUAAAGCGCGCGUAGGCGGUCUGAUAAGCCGGUUGUGAAAGCCCCGGGCUCAACCUGGGAACGGCAUCCGGAACUGUCAGGCUAGAGUGCAGGAGAGGAAGGUAGAAUUCCCGGUGUAGCGGUGAAAUGCGUAGAGAUCGGGAGGAAUACCAGUGGCGAAGGCGGCCUUCUGGACUGACACUGACGCUGAGGUGCGAAAGCGUGGGUAGCAAACAGGAUUAGAUACCCCGGUAGUC